RNAcentral lists this ribosomal RNA (422 nucleotides) under uncultured archaeon. Its description in RNAcentral is "partial 16S ribosomal RNA". It matches the Rfam family "Archaeal small subunit ribosomal RNA", at positions 323 to 746 of the family's 1478-position model. The record is from RNAcentral.
CUACGGGCCGCAGCAGCCGCGAAACCUUUACAAUGCACGAAAGUGUGAUAAGGGAAUCCGAAGUGCUUACCUUCUGGGUAGGCUUUUGUUAAGUGUAAAUAGCUUAAUGAAUAAGUGGUGGGUAAUACCGGUGCCAGCAGCCGCGGUAACACCGGAGCCACAAGUGGUGCUCAUUUUUAUUGGGCCUAAAGCGUCCGUAGCCGACUCAAUAAAUCUCUUGUGAAAGUGUUAAACUUAAUUUAGCAAAUUGCCAGAGAAACUGUUUAGUUUGGGACCGGGAAGAGACAAAAGUAUUCCUUGGGAAGCGGUAAAAUGUUUUAAUCCAGGGAAGACCACCAAUGGCGAAGGCAUUUGUCUAGAACGGGUCUGACGGUGAGGGACGAAAGCUAGGAGAACGAUCGGGAUUAGAUACCCUAGUAGUC